ACAUACGACCAUAGCCGCCAGAUAACUCUGGAUCCCGUCCGAUCUCCGAUAGAUAACCUGGCGAGCGCUGGAUUAGUAGUUGGGUCGGUGACGACCAGCGAAUCCCCGGUGUUGUAUGUC
RNAcentral lists this ribosomal RNA (120 nucleotides) under Ustilaginoidea virens. The record is from RNAcentral. Lineage: Eukaryota; Fungi; Ascomycota; Sordariomycetes; Hypocreales; Clavicipitaceae.